CAGUUACAUUUGAAUUUUGGAUAAAGAACAAAUAAACUUUUAGUAUAAGUAUGUCCCAUGCAACAUUUGGGACACACUUAUACUAAAAAAAAAAAUUAUUUGUGUAAAAAUGGCAUGGUAUC
RNAcentral lists this microRNA precursor (122 nucleotides) under Loxodonta africana (African savanna elephant). RNAcentral's name for it is "miRNA (ENSLAFG00000033195.1)". The stretch from base 37 to 88 matches the Rfam family "mir-1302 microRNA precursor family". The record is from RNAcentral. Lineage: Eukaryota; Metazoa; Chordata; Mammalia; Proboscidea; Elephantidae.